Molecule: long non-coding RNA, 915 nt
Organism: Canis lupus familiaris (dog)
Lineage: Eukaryota; Metazoa; Chordata; Mammalia; Carnivora; Canidae
Exons: 3
Source: RefSeq, a predicted model, not a curated record
CAGACGCGACUGAGGAGAGCCAGAGCAGUGCCAAACCCAGAGCUGCCACGACCCUCCCCGAGGCUGGCUGCAAGUGACGCCAGCCUGGCGUUGGCAGGAUGCCGAUUUCUCCAUCAGUCAUGCGUCCACUGGUUGGUGCUGGAAGACGGAGAAUCUCCAUCUAGAAACUUCUGACUCAGCCUUGCUCCCCUGCCUGCCACGAGACACACGGCCCAGCUUUGCGUGGCGGGAGAUGUCUCGUGAUUCGUCGUUCGGCUCCCCGGUCUGAUGUCGGGUCGAAGCCGCACGGCAGGCAGCUAAUGCGCACCCACUGCUGUCCCAGGAUGGCGGAGCUGAGACGUGACCCCCCACCCGGGCAUCGGCCAGCCCACAUGUGCGUGCCACGCUUGGCACACGAAGGCUGCCUCCACGUGCCACGCGGCCUGUGUGUGCCCGGCCCGCACCUCCUCUUGCAAAGAGUGUUCUGGUUCCUCUCACGUGAGCCCGAGUGAUUCCGGUGGAUCCUCCCCCCCACCCCCAACGUGCUCCAGUGACCCCGGCCCGGCCCGUGAGCGUCCACCCGGGCCCCCCUGCCCACCUCUUUCUCUCGCAGGUGCACUGCUGCUGCCCUGGUGGGAGGCAUCAGCCCGCAGCUGCCACCUUAGCCCGGCCUGGGGGGGGGCCGGCCCAGAUGGAGCCGCCCAGAGGAAAGGAGCCGCCAGGUGUAGGCCCUACACACUUCUGGGCACCUAGUUUGAGGUUCCGGACCCGGCCCGAAGGUCAGACCUCUCGGCCCUGAGCCACUAAGUUCCCUUCUGAGGUGGGUUCGUACCCCCGGCGACACUGAGCCUGGACGCAGGAGCUGCGGUGGACCCGUCCCUCCCCGGGCGGCCCUGCCGCGCAGCCUCUGCCCCUUGUCCCUGGGGUCCAGCCCCG